Molecule: long non-coding RNA, 662 nt
Organism: Camponotus floridanus (Florida carpenter ant)
Lineage: Eukaryota; Metazoa; Arthropoda; Insecta; Hymenoptera; Formicidae
Exons: 4
Source: RefSeq, a predicted model, not a curated record
UUUAGUUAAAAAACUUAGCGCUGCUACGCUGAACAAUGUGCUAAUGAAAUUAGCCCCGACUCCGGCUAUCCGACGGCGAUUCACGCGGAAUUCGCCCGUGACAAAAUAUUAUACAGAUCUUCAAUUCUCCUGUAGGAAUAGUUUGAUCUUAGCUCUGUUUCAGGUAUAUGAUUAUAUUGAAGACUAUAAGAAGAAUAAAAAAGACGUAGAUAAAAGAGGAAAAAAAUGAGUGCCAAAAAAAAAUUAUAUUGUGAAGUAUCCGAUUGCAAUUUACAAGAAAAUGUGGAGAAAACACAUUUUUUUAAAUUUCCAAAGGAGUAUGAUAGAUAGUUGCAAUGGACGCGAGCAUGCGGAAGAUCAGAUUUGGGACCAAAAGGUCCAGAAUAUGCGAGUCAAAACUGUCGUUUGUGCCAUUUACAUUUUGAAGAAAAAUGGUACAAUGUGAACAAAAUUAGAGCUCGCCUCCACUUAGCUAUACCCACAAAAUUUUCUGGGUCGAUUUUUGACAAAAACAAUGCAGCUAUUUCAAAUAUGGAGGAAGAAAAUGCAUAAAGAUGCAAUUCAAGUUCCUUCUGAAACAACAUAACAUGAAAAAGUACAAAUUCUGGGCAAAACAGGACAACAGAAGGAAACACAAAAAAUGGAAGCAGAUAUGAAAAUAG